GUGUACACGGUGGAUGCCCUGGCAGUCAGAGGCGAUGAAGGACGUGCUAAUCUGCGAUAAGCGUCGGUAAGGUGAUAUGAACCGUUAUAACCGGCGAUUUCCGAAUGGGGAAACCCAGUGUGUUUCGACACACUAUCAUUAACUGAAUCCAUAGGUUAAUGAGGCGAACCGGGGGAACUGAAACAUCUAAGUACCCCGAGGAAAAGAAAUCAACCGAGAUUCCCCCAGUAGCGGCGAGCGAACGGGGAGCAGCCCAGAGCCUGAAUCAGUGUGUGUGUUAGUGGAAGCGUCUGGAAAGGCGCGCGAUACAGGGUGACAGCCCCGUACACAAAAAUGCACAUGCUGUGAGCUCGAUGAGUAGGGCGGGACACGUGGUAUCCUGUCUGAAUAUGGGGGGACCAUCCUCCAAGGCUAAAUACUCCUGACUGACCGAUAGUGAACCAGUACCGUGAGGGAAAGGCGAAAAGAACCCCGGCGAGGGGAGUGAAAAAGAACCUGAAACCGUGUACGUACAAGCAGUGGGAGCACGCUUAGGCGUGUGACUGCGUACCUUUUGUAUAAUGGGUCAGCGACUUAUAUUCUGUAGCAAGGUUAACCGAAUAGGGGAGCCGAAGGGAAACCGAGUCUUAACUGGGCGUUAAGUUGCAGGGUAUAGACCCGAAACCCGGUGAUCUAGCCAUGGGCAGGUUGAAGGUUGGGUAACACUAACUGGAGGACCGAACCGACUAAUCUUGAAAAAUUAGCGGAUGACUUGUGGCUGGGGGUGAAAGGCCAAUCAAACCGGGAGAUAGCUGGUUCUCCCCGAAAGCUAUUUAGGUAGCGCCUCGUGAAUUCAUCUCCGGGGGUAGAGCACUGUUUCGGCAAGGGGGUCAUCCCGACUUACCAACCCGAUGCAAACUGCGAAUACCGGAGAAUGUUAUCACGGGAGACACACGGCGGGUGCUAACGUCCGUCGUGAAGAGGGAAACAACCCAGACCGCCAGCUAAGGUCCCAAAGUCAUGGUUAAGUGGGAAACGAUGUGGGAAGGCCCAGACAGCCAGGAUGUUGGCUUAGAAGCAGCCAUCAUUUAAAGAAAGCGUAAUAGCUCACUGGUCGAGUCGGCCUGCGCGGAAGAUGUAACGGGGCUAAACCAUGCACCGAAGCUGCGGCAGCGACGCUUAUGCGUUGUUGGGUAGGGGAGCGUUCUGUAAGCCUGCGAAGGUGUGCUGUGAGGCAUGCUGGAGGUAUCAGAAGUGCGAAUGCUGACAUAAGUAACGAUAAAGCGGGUGAAAAGCCCGCUCGCCGGAAGACCAAGGGUUCCUGUCCAACGUUAAUCGGGGCAGGGUGAGUCGACCCCUAAGGCGAGGCCGAAAGGCGUAGUCGAUGGGAAACAGGUUAAUAUUCCUGUACUUGGUGUUACUGCGAAGGGGGGACGGAGAAGGCUAUGUUGGCCGGGCGACGGUUGUCCCGGUUUAAGCGUGUAGGCUGGUUUUCCAGGCAAAUCCGGAAAAUCAAGGCUGAGGCGUGAUGACGAGGCACUACGGUGCUGAAGCAACAAAUGCCCUGCUUC
Molecule: ribosomal RNA, 1550 nt
Filed under: Enterococcus faecalis
Lineage: Bacteria; Bacillati; Bacillota; Bacilli; Lactobacillales; Enterococcaceae
Description: partial 23S ribosomal RNA
Rfam family: Bacterial large subunit ribosomal RNA
Source: RNAcentral